CAGGCUGAACAUCAGAAAAAAAUUCCUCACUGUUAGAGCAGUACGACAACGGAACCGAUUACCGAGUGUUGGGCUCUCCAACACUGAAGGCCUUCAAGAGGCAGCUGGACAGUCACCUGUCAGCUAACUGCAACUGCAAAGGACUCGUGGUAAGAAGUGCUGCUGAUGGGAGACAUCCUUGCCUCAACAUACUGUCAGGAAGAUCAGAGAAUCCAGAGACUUCACCAUUUUAUCUUCCAGGCUUUUUUCCUCCAUGCGGAUCUUUCCGUAUCCUACCCGCAAGGUCCUGAAUUCACUUCUCAGCUCUUCCCUGAGCCCAUAGAAACCAGUUUCUUUGAUAAGCAGCUAUCAUAUUCCGUCUUUUCCCGUAAGUCACUUACAUGUACGCAGCUGUAACACAGCAAAGCUUUUCAUAGUUUGGACAGGAGGAAGUUUUAGGGGGCAAAUCAAAGUUG
This is a long non-coding RNA of Rhineura floridana, 455 nucleotides long. RefSeq lists it as uncharacterized. The transcript is spliced from 3 exons. The record is from RefSeq and is a predicted model, not a curated record. Lineage: Eukaryota; Metazoa; Chordata; Lepidosauria; Squamata; Rhineuridae.